UAGGGAAUCUUCGGCAAUGGGGGCAACCCUGACCGAGCAACGCCGCGUGAGUGAAGAAGGUUUUCGGAUCGUAAAGCUCUGUUGUAAGAGAAGAAUGUGUGUGAGAGUGGAAAGUUCACACAGUGACGGUAACUUACCAGAAAGGGACGGCUAACUACGUGCCAGCAGCCGCGGUAAUACGUAGGUCCCGAGCGUUGUCCGGAUUUAUUGGGCGUAAAGCGAGCGCAGGCGGUUUAAUAAGUCUGAAGUUAAAGGCAGUGGCUUAACCAUUGUUCGCUUUGGAAACUGUUAAACUUGAGUGCAGAAGGGGAGAGUGGAAUUCCAUGUGUAGCGGUGAAAUGCGUAGAUAUAUGGAGGAACACCGGUGGCGAAAGCGGCUCUCUGAUCUGUAACUGACGCUGAGGCUCGAAAGCGUGGGGAGCAAACA
RNAcentral lists this ribosomal RNA (427 nucleotides) under uncultured bacterium. RNAcentral's name for it is "bacterial SSU rRNA". It matches the Rfam family "Bacterial small subunit ribosomal RNA", at positions 355 to 774 of the family's 1533-position model. The record is from RNAcentral.